Long non-coding RNA from Dermochelys coriacea (leatherback sea turtle), 2436 nucleotides. RefSeq lists it as uncharacterized. The record is from RefSeq and is a predicted model, not a curated record. The transcript is spliced from 2 exons. Lineage: Eukaryota; Metazoa; Chordata; Testudines; Dermochelyidae.
GCUAUUCAGAGAGAAAAAAGUUAGUAUCAAUACACAUUUGAAAGCUUCCCAGUACAUUUUCAUUUCACUAACAGUUUUAUAAAAAUUAAGAUAAAAAUCCUAUUUAGUUUAAUGGAUUUAUUCAUUUUAGAUAUUUUGUAUUAAAAACUGUCUCACAAAAGGUAGACUUUAGACUUGUCAGUAUCACAGCCAGGCAUGUCAUUAUUUCUCCAUCCCAUACCAGUAUUUAAUUUUGAGCAAGUUGUCACCUUAGUUUACAAGAGCUUUCCAAGGGAAGUAUAGUAAUGUAAUUUCAACAUACUCCCAAGAAAGUAGUAGACAUACACUGCAAAAAGCUGUAAUGUGCAGUUAGACAGAACAAUGUGUUAUUGUAAGAAUGCAGUAGUUUCAGGUUGUAGCCUGUUUCACAGACACACACACACACACUCUCUCUCCACAGUGUCUGGUCAAUACAUAGGCUACUUACCUUAACAAUAAAUGGUUAUUGUAGAGGGGACUAUAUAGAUUCAGCUAUGGUUGCUCACACUCUAGUUUAAGAAAUCCCCCAAGAUAACACGGGUCUGCUGUAUAACAUAAUUAUGCAUUCACAGAGAGGGCCAAUUCAAAUUUACUUUUUUUGCUAAACUAUUGCCUAAAUCUGCAUAGCAGUCUCCUUGGUUUGGGUUUAUCUUUCAGCCCCUCAUCUCCAUCCCUACCCACCAUUUUAGCUGCACUGCAUAAGGGUCAAAUGACCAGCUGGGACUGUAGAGCAUGGAGCAGUAAAAGAACUGAAGCACUGACUUAGAGAGAGAAGCCCCAGAGAAAUGGAGCUGUAUUCCUAAGACAUCUUAAGCAUCAUGUACCAGAUCUGGCACUCGGAUGAAUGAUUUUUAUGGAGAUCAGCAGUCCUCCAAAAUGUAGUUUUUUCACAAGUCUAAUCUUCAUUUUCUUCUAUGAUGAAUAACGUGUUAUGGACAACUACAGAUCAAACAGUUUUACAUAUGACAAGUCACAUGAACGAGGGGAAUGUACGUAGUCCACAGCUCUGGUAAUAACAAAGGUUUUUUAAUUUCUUGGGAAUGAAGUUUAAUAUGCAGGGAAAGACAUGCAUAGCUGUUGCUCAAGAAUAGGUUUUGAAAGUGUAUUAUGUAAUUUUUUUUACAUUAGAUGAAAUUUUAUUUACUUAUGUCUAUCAUAAGAACUACAGUUAGGCUGAGAAUUGAUGCCAUCUCUGAACUAAAUAUAGAUCCACGAACAAUAUAUCAAUUUGAGAUCCCUUAAAGCACCUUGGAUUUUCAGAAAGUGUUGAACAUUCAAUCACUGGAAAAGUCAGGCCUCUUUAAAAAAAAAGUCAAACUAGACACCCAAAAGUCACUCUUAAUUUUCGAAUAUCUGGGCCCUAAAGUUCUGAGCUGAAGGUACUUUAAGCCUGAAAUAUGCAUUUCACUCGAAGGGAAAAAAGGUUUAAAUGAAGUAUCUCAUAUAUUCUGUAUAUGAUUUGAUUUAAUCAAGUCAAGUAAGAGGCAAGCCUUUAUGAUGCGUCUUUUGGGGAUACCGUCUAAAAAAUCCACAAGUUUCAUUAUAGAGCAAGUUCUGCCUGUUUGCAUGUAAAUCACAGCAAAAAAUAAAAAUAAAGGUAAAUUGUUUGUGUUAAUGUUUAAGGUACUGUAAAAGAUUUAAUGAUCAACCUUUCAUUUCCAUCUUAAAAAAAAAAAAAAGAAAAAACAGACUAUUUUCUGUUAGAGUUGGUUUAUCGAGGCUUAAGGAAAUAUCACCUGAUUGGAAAAGCAAUCUUCUCAAAGCAUAAAGCAGGUCUCUUACAUCCCUACCACCUCAGCUGCCAAAUUGUAGUUAAAUUGAACUGUUUAGAUGGAAUGUAGGGGUUUAAAAAAAAAAAAAAAGUAAUUUUAUUGGGGUGGUGGAUGGGGAAGUCAUUCAACCCUGAACUUCAGCCAGCAAAAACCCAGCCAUCAAAGUUUUAAACACAAUCUAGGUUUCAGGGGUUUGGUUUUGGGGUUUUUUUGUGUGUGUUUAGUUUUUUAUUAAAGGAAGGGAGCAUUUGGGGUAGGUCAGGGAACAUUUUUCUGUACAUAUCACCUGUUACUUAGGUCUUAAACCUAAGCCAGGGAAGGUAUUUUAAUACAACUCAGGAGGCACAUAGCCCCAGUACCACCAGUUGAAUGUAUGGUUCCUGUACAGACUAUGUCAUGUCAAGUUUUCUGUUCCAAUCAAGUACUAACUGUAACUACAGAAGUGCCAUUCCAGAUCAUAUUGUCUGUAUUACUAUGCCUAGAAGAUAAACACACAAGUAUUAGUUCUUUAUAACCAUCACCACGCCCUGUGAUGUGCACAUGGUUUAGAUUUUAAUGGUAUUCAUAAGCUUAUUUCUGGUCUUACUCUUAGAGGAGUUCAGGAAGGAAGUACAGUUACUAGGGCCCUACCAAAUUCAGUCAUGAA